Ruditapes philippinarum (Manila clam) is the source of this 259-nucleotide long non-coding RNA. RefSeq lists it as uncharacterized. Lineage: Eukaryota; Metazoa; Mollusca; Bivalvia; Venerida; Veneridae. The transcript is spliced from 3 exons. The record is from RefSeq and is a predicted model, not a curated record.
AGGAAGAACCGACAUCAAAAGCGUUUGAGAUAUCUCCAUCAACAAGCUUACAGUGAUAUUAAUACAGCAUUUAAAGACAGAUCUUUAAAAAAAUCAAGUUCAAGGAAACGAACUUCCGUCAAAGCGUCCGAGCAAUCACCCGGACAUAGCCGGACAACAUCUGCUGAUAAAACCAGUACUUCAAUGCCCAUGACAUCGGUUGGUACAAACAGAUUUUCAAUGGACACAUCUGAUGGGACAGCACCGUCUAGCAGCCGGC